Molecule: long non-coding RNA, 705 nt
Organism: Labeo rohita (rohu)
Lineage: Eukaryota; Metazoa; Chordata; Actinopteri; Cypriniformes; Cyprinidae
Exons: 3
Source: RefSeq, a predicted model, not a curated record
CGUGCAGAAGAAAAAGCGUAUUGCUCUGUGUGAUUACUGAAGGCUGUUGUAGAUCUCUCAUGUAUCUCUUAGAUGGAAAUUGGAAGUAAACACAUGAAGAGACGGCAAGAGAGAGAUGAAGACACAAACCAGUGAAAACAUGAAGCUUGUGAAGCUCGCCAGAUGGAGCAGCUACGUGGAUAUACGACCGCAUUUCUCUGCUGAUCCAAACCAUAGGUGGAGUUUCACUUUUAUGCGGGGGGCAGACGAGCCAGCAUUGCGAUUAUCCUGCUGUAAAACCUGUAAUUUCUUGAAGCAGCAACAUCUGAGUCUGUAAAGAGCGAGUCAGCGUGGGCUUUGAUUCUUAUGUUUGCUGCUCGGGAUGAAGAUGAAGUUCGCUGAAUAAAGGCUUGGAUUUGUGUCUGUUCCUUGCAAUCGUAUGGAUUCUGAAGAUGUGAAUUACAGAGCAAAAAUAAAAUUGAUUCUUUUUAAUUAUGUUGAGUUUUUGAUGUAUUUUAUGGUUCUAUUGUCAUUUACAGCAUACUGGAGAAAACACCUUUUGUGUCCCGCAUUUCCUGAUUUUGCCGAGUUAGAUGUGUUCCUGUGUCAUCAUAUUUUGUUGACCCUGGAACAACAUUUUAAUCCAAAAAUGUAAUCUUGACCACAUCCCUACACCUAAACCUAACCUUACCCAUGAGUAAUCCCUAAAAUCAGAGGAAAUGAUAG